ACAUCAUGGAGCUGACACCACCUUGCUUUACUGCACGAAUGAUAUUGGGCAGGUCAUGAACAGUGCUUGGUUUCCUCCAGAUAUGACUCUUAGAAAUGAGGCCAGAAAGUUCAAUCUUGGUUUCAUCAGACCAGAGAAUCUUGUUACUC
Bufo bufo (common toad) is the source of this 149-nucleotide long non-coding RNA. RefSeq lists it as uncharacterized. NCBI's taxonomy places the organism in Eukaryota, Metazoa, Chordata, Amphibia, Anura, Bufonidae. The record is from RefSeq and is a predicted model, not a curated record. The transcript has 5 exons.